RNAcentral lists this non-coding RNA (30 nucleotides) under Rattus norvegicus (Norway rat). Lineage: Eukaryota; Metazoa; Chordata; Mammalia; Rodentia; Muridae. The record is from RNAcentral.
UGGUCUUCUCAAUUGUAGUAUGAAUACAGA